This 269-nucleotide small RNA is filed under the name Arabidopsis thaliana (thale cress). RNAcentral describes it as "ATSL068190". The record is from RNAcentral. Lineage: Eukaryota; Viridiplantae; Streptophyta; Magnoliopsida; Brassicales; Brassicaceae.
AAUCAGUUCUUAAACUCAUUUGAUGUUUUAGAUUUUGAUAAAGACUUCACAAUGCCGCUUUAAAAAAUAAAUCGAAUACUGAGUGAGACACCCAAUAUUAGUUCUGUGAAUUCACGAUGUUUUAUUAGUUUAUUUCUGUCAUUGGUGAUCUCCUACUAUAUUUGUUACGGUAUUAGAUAUUUAGUUGAAUUUUAAAAAUUUAGUCACUUCAUUAUUAUUGUUUGCUUAUAUAUAUAUAUAUUUGGUGCAAAUGAUUUAAUAUUUUAUUA